This 216-nucleotide ribosomal RNA is filed under the name uncultured bacterium. RNAcentral describes it as "partial 16S ribosomal RNA". It matches the Rfam family "Bacterial small subunit ribosomal RNA", at positions 1284 to 1500 of the family's 1533-position model. The record is from RNAcentral.
UUACUCAGUUCAGAUUGCAGGCUGCAACCCGCCUGCAUGAAGUCGGAAUUGCUAGUAAUCGCGGAUCAGCAUGCCGCGGUGAAUACGUUCCCGGGCCUUGUACACACCGCCCGUCACACCAUGGGAGCCGGUAAUACCCGAAGUCAGUAGUCCAACCUCGUGAGGACGCUGCCGAAGGUAGGAUUGGCGACUGGGGUGAAGUCGUAACAAGGUAUC